This 45-nucleotide non-coding RNA is filed under the name Schistosoma mansoni. Lineage: Eukaryota; Metazoa; Platyhelminthes; Trematoda; Strigeidida; Schistosomatidae. The record is from RNAcentral.
AUCCAGCUGACGAGUCCUAAAUAUGGCGAAACGGGUGUCCUGGAU